GGGUGAAGGUAUGGAUGGUUGUUAGAGAAUAACUUACACUGAGCAUGAGCAACAUGAGAACCACAUAGAUAUCUACUCACUCGUCAGUGAUCUUCUCGAUGCUACAGUGGUGUGAGUGGUCUUUUAACCUACAGUGCCAUUGGCUAUUCACAGUGAGGCUACUGGAUUUGAUUGUACAUUUUCUUGAUCCCUAGCCAUUCGGAUCCUUGCUGUGUA
RNAcentral lists this long non-coding RNA (216 nucleotides) under Elaeis guineensis (African oil palm). Its description in RNAcentral is "long non-coding RNA (EGUI_LNC036701)". The record is from RNAcentral. Lineage: Eukaryota; Viridiplantae; Streptophyta; Magnoliopsida; Arecales; Arecaceae.